AUGUCCCCUCCUGAGCUCCACCUCCUCCAGCCCCCGCCUGGGCUCUGCUCCUUCUUCCUUGUUGGCGCUCAACCGGACGAGGCUGAACUGCCACAAACUGCGGCAGAGGGACACGUCGAUGAGGAUGGCAAGUCGAGCUGGAGGGGAUCGGGAGGCGUGAGGCGUGGAUACGGGUGGAGCGCUGAAGAAGGGUUGUGUGGGGCAACCGGCCCGUCUUAUUUUGUGGAGUGGCCAUUAUCAUCGCCAAGCUACUCAACUCGUCGAACCCGAUGUCGCCAUGUUCGGGAAGAAGGAUUGUCAGCAGUGGCGUCUCCUCUGCCGAAUGAUAACUAA
RNAcentral lists this ribosomal RNA (333 nucleotides) under Triticum aestivum (bread wheat). RNAcentral's name for it is "partial small subunit ribosomal RNA". Lineage: Eukaryota; Viridiplantae; Streptophyta; Magnoliopsida; Poales; Poaceae. The record is from RNAcentral.